This is a long non-coding RNA of Centrocercus urophasianus (Greater sage-grouse), 1751 nucleotides long. RefSeq lists it as uncharacterized. NCBI's taxonomy places the organism in Eukaryota, Metazoa, Chordata, Aves, Galliformes, Phasianidae. The transcript is spliced from 2 exons. The record is from RefSeq and is a predicted model, not a curated record.
AAGGAGCUGUCUGGAAAGAAUGUGCGGACAUAAAUCUCCGCAGCGUGAGAUAAAGCAUCAGACGCGGUUUAGUGUUUUGUAGGAAGAGAAUUUCCUUGCGGUUUCUCGCAAGAGGUGUCAGGGGCAUCGCUUGAUGGGCAGCGUGGCUGUAGGAGCUCGGCUUUGUUUUCUGCCCUGCCGACGUAAAUGAUGCGACCCAAUCCGUAGUCAGCUGUGGUUGGUGUGCGCCGGGUGUCCCCUGGGCGUGAGGAGUGGUCCUUGAACUGCCAGCUCUGGGCUGGGCUUCCCGAGCGUGUGCCUUUGUUUGGUUUGGUUUCUUCAGGUGGUUAAAAAAGGGGGAACCGCUGUUCCUUUUCGGUGCUCCCAGCACAGUAUUUCAAGUUCCUCUUUGGCGAGAGAAUUCAGCAGAGUGGGUUUUGCUGGAGUUGCGAUAGAUUGGGUUAUUUGCAGAAGGGAUUCCUCAGAGGCCUUGUCUCCACUAAGCAAUUACAUUAUUGUUUUUACCCAGCAGUACAGCUCCUGUGCAAGCGCCGGCAGCUCUGGUUUUACAGUGAAGGAAGAAAAAGCCGUGAUCCUUUAUACCAAAGGAAAGAAAUUGCACUGAGUGGCUUUUUCUGCAUAUCCAGAUAACUUUGGGUAUUCUGGCAAUGCCCACAAAGGUGAAGGAGCAGAAUAAAAUUGGUGAUGCGACAGUCAGCAGCCCAGGUGGAGAGCUGUGUACUCUCUUGGCAAAGGAUGUUUGCAGAGCAGUGCAUGGAAGUGGAUGCUUGGCUGUGUCCUGGUAUUGGUGGCACAGGAUGAACUACAUUGGGUGCAUUACUUCAGGAUUAGGAAGGAGACUUUUAGGUAUAGGCUGUGCAUAGAUAGCCAUUUUGCUAUUACUCGCUACACAGGUAGAAUUGUUUUUCCCAAGGAAAAGAGGUGGUUGCACUGGGAAAACUGGCUGCUUGGAGUAGUACAAUUAGCAGCACUGGCGUGCCUGGGUUUUCAAAUGCUGAGAAGCACCAGAAAUAAACUUAUCACUGUGCUGUACCCAUGUGAUGUGUAUAAUCAGCUGUGAAUUAUUUAUUUCUAUUUUAACUGCAGCUAGUCAGCAUUUCUGGACCAUAGCGAGACUCUGGUCUGGAUCCACACAAAUCCCUCAGACUGAGCACACUGAGCACACUGAUGGCAUUUCAGUGUCAGUUCCCAGAUAUUGCACAGCACUACAGAAUAUUUCAGUAGUGGCAGGAGCACUGGAAAUGCUACUUAAUGAUCAAAUGGUAGGAGCAACCCCUCUGCUGAUAAAUGCUUUUCUGUUCUGGACAGUGUGGAAACAGUGUUAAAAGAAACCAGGCCCACUUAUCCUGCCAGACAGGUUGUUGCCAUCCACAGUGGAACUGCAGCAGCUUUAAUGCAAUAUCAGGGUUUAAGAAAAAUCAUAACGUAGCCAUGAAAUGAGCUGUGUGAGAGAACCAGCAGGAUGCUAUGUGUAUGGAGAGUGAACUGCUGGCAACAGAGUGUAAGCCCUGGCCUUCUUGGAAAAAAUUAGUGUGCAGAGAACUGCAUAACAGUACCGUGUGCCAGCUAGUUUAUUGUGAGAAUGUGUGCUGCUUCACUUUCAAUCUCUAUUCUUUUCACAGGGGUAUUGGAAAAGGAAGUAGAACAGCUGCUGUAAAGCCAUGCAAGAGAUGUGAUGCUUGUGAACAGUUGUGAAAAAAAAAAUUAGAUUUAUGAAUGGAAAGCAUUAUACAAAUAAAAUGUAAACAGUU